Molecule: non-coding RNA, 967 nt
Filed under: Clytomyias insignis (Orange-crowned fairywren)
Lineage: Eukaryota; Metazoa; Chordata; Aves; Passeriformes; Maluridae
Description: partial 12S ribosomal RNA
Rfam family: Bacterial small subunit ribosomal RNA
Source: RNAcentral
GACUUAGUCCUAACCUUACUGUUGGUUGUUGCUAGGAAUAUACAUGCAAGUAUCCGCGCCCCAGUGUGUAUGCCCUCAGUACCUGUCCCCAGGUCAAUAGGAGCGGGUAUCAGGCUCACCCCCCCAACCGUAGCCCAAGACGCCUUGCACUUGCCACGCCCCCACGGGUACUCAGCAGUAAUUAAUAUUAAGCAAUGAGUGAAAACUUGACUUAGCCAUAGCAACUCAGGGUCGGUAAAUCUUGUGCCAGCAACCGCGGUUAUACAAGAGACCCAAAUCAACUUUAUAACGGCGUAAAGCGUGGUUACAUGCUAUCAAAGUAACUAAGACUAAAAGGCAACUGAGCUGUCACAAGCCCAAGAUGCUCAUAAGUCCACCUCAAAAGAAGGUCUUAGACUAACGAUUAAUUGAAGCCCACGAAAGCCAGGGCCCAAACUGGGAUUAGAUACCCCACUAUGCCUGGCCCUAAAUCUUGGUGCUUUAAUCUACUCAAGCACCCGCCCGAGAACUACGAGCACAAACGCUUAAAACUCUAAGGACUUGGCGGUGCCCCAAACCCACCUAGAGGAGCCUGUUCUAUAAUCGAUGAUCCACGAUAUACCCGACCAUUCCUUGCCAAUCAGCCUAUAUACCGCCGUCGCCAGCCCACCCAUCUGAAGGUUCAACAGUGAGCGCAAUAGCCUAACCCGCUAGCAAGACAGGUCAAGGUGUAGCCUAUGGAAUGGAGGUAAUGGGCUACAUUUUCUAGUAUAGAACAUCACGGCAAAGGGAUGUGAAAUCAUCUCUCGAAGGCGGAUUUAGCAGUAAAGUGGGACCAUCGAGCCCUCUUUAAGCCGGCUCUGGGGCACGUACAUACCGCCCGUCACCCUCCUCAAAGGCGCCCCUUGUCCCAUAACUAAUAAGCCACCCAGCCAAAGAUGAGGUAAGUCGUAACAAGGUAAGUGUACCGGAAGGUGUACUUAGACUA